CCCUUAGAUGUUCUGGGCGGCCCGCGCACUACACUGGCACUCUCAAUCAGAGCCUGGAUCUAACACUUUGGGGUAUUCUAUGAAGUGGUGUCGUGACUGGGAUUAACCCUUGCAAUUAUUGGUUACGAACGAGGAAUUCCUUGUAAUCGCGGUUUAUCAGCCCGCGUUGAAUGCGUCCCUGCCCUUUGUACACACCGCCCGUCGCCCCUACCGAUGGAUCGUCCGGUGAAGCUCAUGGAGGGGCGGUUGUCUCAGCUGCCGUCGAAGUGAAAUGGACCUCACGAUCUAGAGGAAGGAGAAGUCGUAACA
Molecule: ribosomal RNA, 309 nt
Filed under: uncultured eukaryote
Lineage: Eukaryota
Description: partial 18S ribosomal RNA
Rfam family: Eukaryotic small subunit ribosomal RNA
Source: RNAcentral